Molecule: long non-coding RNA, 3043 nt
Filed under: Cricetulus griseus (Chinese hamster)
Lineage: Eukaryota; Metazoa; Chordata; Mammalia; Rodentia; Cricetidae
Description: lncRNA (ENSCGRG00015035423.1)
Source: RNAcentral
CUGCUCAGUAGCAAGACUGAACUAGAAAAAGUUCUGCUGCAGACAAAUCCUAGGGUGUUUUAAUUGGACAAUGUUUCUGAAACAUCAGCAGUCUAUAUACCAUUAUUAGGCUACCACUUUGUUCACCUGCCAAUCACAUUACCAUUUCCCUCCUGUUUCCCUUGGACUUUUAAACCUUUUAUUUAAUCCAAUCUUAAGCAAUAACAUCCAUGAAACUAUUGGUUGACAUAUUACAUUGUCUGAAUACAUGGAUUCAUUUAAAUGGAUGCAUAAGUAAUAUUAAAAAUGUAUCUGCUUACAGCCUAAAGUUGAAUAACAAGAAGAAAUAAAAAGGAAAGGACAUGACUGUAAUGAUUCAGGCAUUAUGGUAGCAGGCCCCUGUCACCUAGUCAGCCCACAUUCAAAGGACCCCUUUAAAAGAAAGACCUUCGCCCACUUACACUAUUUUCCCCCGUUCUCUCUUUUCCCUCUCUCUUUCCCGCUGUCGCCCUGGGCAGACAGGACUUUUCUUGUCCCCCUCUUCUCUUCUGUCCUCUCUUGUGUGUCUCUUUCCCUCUUUUUCUCUUUCCUUUCCCCUCCCUCUCCUUUCUAAUAAAACUUCUCACUUAAGCUCUGACUGCCUGACAUGUUUUUGCCCCACCUGGGUCAACCUCACCCGACAUGGAUUGCCCCACGAAGGGUCCCUCACGCUUUAUCAUAACAAUGACUGCUCCUAGGUAUGGUGGAAGAGAAAGUUUAUUAUAGAUUAAAGGGAGAGAGGGACAUCUGGGAGAGAGUCCAGAGUGGACAUGACCCUGAGUGUAUGUGUGUGUGUGGGGGGGAGCAGACCAAGGGAACCAGGUGCCAAAAAGGGGACCAGGAGGCACAAAAAGAGAGUUAAAAAAACAAAUCAAACCAAAAAUGGUUAGACUGCACAGCCCCUGGGUUGGAGACGUUUAGGGUAGGGGCAGGGUAUCCUAGCCAGGAAGGCCCUGUAACAGGUAGGGACUGGGGGAUGCUGGGAGAACCCGGCAGCCAGGUCCGCUUUUAUAUGUUAAACAGGCACUUCAUCCAGUUGUCCCGGGGUUUGAAACUUCACAAACAUUACCUAAGUAUUCUCCCCAUGUACUUCCUAUGCAAACACUGCUUCCUGCAGUGUGGUCUGGGGGUUUUGUACCAACGCAAGGCCAAGUGUCCUAUCUGUGGGCUUGCCUUCAGUUUAGAGGACAUAAAUCAAGCUAUUUUCCUGAGAGGGGGCUGACUCACAUUUCCUGAGCACACUGCCAAUGCACCAAACAAGGAGCUUUAUAAAAGCCUCUCCCGUGGUCACUCAAUCCCUCCAAACAGCUGAACUGGAAUUAAGUUGGCAACAAAUACUGAAUACCACCAAUGUCAGACAACUGAGGGUUUCUGCGGCAAGAGCAGAAUCAAAAAUAAUAAAACCAAAUUGCUGGAAAGCACCUACACUGCUUGCACAGGACUCCCGAAUCCAAGAAAAGCUUCCAGGCUUUUGUGCUGGCCCGGCUGAGGUUGAAUUGUUUCUAUUCUUUCCUGCACCGGGAAGUCAUGGGAGACACAGAUACAGAACUCAGGAGCAAUCCAGGGGAGAAAGAACAGCUGUUAUGCACACACUGUGAUAAGGAAAGCCAUCUUAGAAUGUGCAGCUGAGGGACACACCUGAGUCAAUGACCUUGAAGGAACCUUAGAUCACUAAUUCACAGAUUACCAAUUGAGGAAUGAACUUUUAUCUCAUACAAACCACUGUUCCUUGGGGUUUCUGUCACAGUAACCAAUCCCAGACUAAUACUCCGGGAUUAGAGCACUGGCUUUUUGUUUGUUUGUUUGUUUUUUGAGACAGGAUUUCUCUGUAACAGUCCUGGUCGUUCUGGGACUCACUUUGUAGACCAGGCUGUCCUCCAACUCACAGAGAUCCACCCGUCUCUGCCUCCUGAGUGCUGGGAUUAAAGGAGUGUGCCACCUCCUGCGGGCAAGCAAUGGUCUUUUAAGUUAGCCUUCCAGCUCCCCAAUUUGAAAUCCUGAAAUAUAUUCAACCUAUUUCCUCCAUUAAACUCGGGACAUUCAUUUUCAAGGUCAACUGUGAUUGAAUUACUUCUGGCUUCACUUCCCACAGUGUACAUUUUACAUUCCUCAGUGUGACAGGCCAACCCUCAUACACUGGCCUUUGCUUUACCACUCUGUCUUCUAGUCCCUCCCUGCUCAUGCUCUUAAGGUCCAAGCACAUGGAACCAUUUGCAGCUUUAUAGUAUAAGCCAAACCCAUGCAUCCUAGUGCAUCCCAAUAAACUGUUUGCUCAGCCCAGAGGGCACGUUCUCCACCUUGACUAGUUUACUAGACAGGACUGGUUUCUAGUGGUCCUUCAGGCCUUAGGCCAGCAUCUCUCAGUUGUUGGGAGUUUUCCUGAGCACACCUGGAUCAGCACCUUGUGUUUUCAAAGUAUUCCAUGUACGUGUCUAUCAGAGCAUUUCCCAUCCAUCCCCUUCUCUAACCUGUCCUAUCAGUGGUUACUCUUUGAGUAACAAGAAUUAUUUUCUUACUCUUAUUACCAGUCCCUAGCACAAAGCCCUGGCACCUUGAAAUAUCGAUUUGGGGGCCAGUGAGAUGGCUUCUGGGUAAUGAAUGGCAUUGCUGCCAAGCCCCAUGACCUGGGUUCGAUCCUCAGAGGCCCCUUUGGUGGAAGGAGAGAACUUGACUUGUAAGACCCUCGGAAAGCUAAGGCUUCCAGAAUCUUAGCCCAGGACCACAGCCACCCCAAUCACAGAAUGGAGGCGAAAGCUUGAUGCAAAUUGCAUGAGGCUUUAUUGUAGUUUAAUGAGCUAACCCCAUGUUAGCUCGGGUCUUUGACCCAACCAACAUGGCGGAUGGCUAGCAAAGACAGUUGGAAGACGCUGCAUACAGAUCUUUAUAGGGCAGCGCAAGGGGAGUGUCUAGGGGUAUGCACAGGCUCAGGAUUGGUGUGCCUCCAGGCUUGGAGGGUUUGCCCUGUGUUUAUUGGUCAACGGGUUGUUAUGGCCCAUAGGCCCUCCCAGGGUGAUUGCUAUGCUUU